Molecule: ribosomal RNA, 536 nt
Filed under: uncultured bacterium
Lineage: Bacteria
Description: bacterial LSU rRNA
Rfam family: Bacterial large subunit ribosomal RNA
Source: RNAcentral
GGGGGGCGAGGAGAUACGCAAGUAUGUCUGAGUGGAUAAUUCCAGGCUUCCAGGAAAAGCUUCGAACCGCAUUUAGAAUUGGCUGACCGUACCGUAAACCGACUCAGGUAGGUGGGGAGAAUAUCCCAAGGCGCUUGAGAGAACUCUGGUCAAGGAACUAGGCAAAUUUGCACCGUAACUUCGGGGAGAAGGUGCGCCUCGGAGUGUGUAGGGGAUACACUCUCGAAGCAUUCUGGGGUCGCAGAGAAAUGGCGGUAGCGACUGUUUACUAAAAACACAGGACUCUGCAAAGUCGCAAGACGACGUAUAGGGUCUGACGCCUGCCCGGUGCUGGAAGGUUAAAGGGAGCUGUCAGGGCAACCGAAGCAGUGAACUGAAGCCCCAGUAAACGGCGGCCGUAACAAUAACGGUCCUAAGGUAGCGAAAUUCCUUGUCGGGUAAGUUCCGACCUGCACGAAUGGCGUAACGACUUCCGCACUGUCUCGACCAGAGACUCAGUGAAAUUGAAUUAGGGGUGAAGAUGCCCUUUACCGCGG